This is a long non-coding RNA of Vicia villosa (hairy vetch), 1079 nucleotides long. RefSeq lists it as uncharacterized. The transcript is spliced from 3 exons. NCBI's taxonomy places the organism in Eukaryota, Viridiplantae, Streptophyta, Magnoliopsida, Fabales, Fabaceae. The record is from RefSeq and is a predicted model, not a curated record.
UGGCUCAUAUGGUAAUUAUAUUGUACUUCCUAAAACAAUAAAGGAAUGUUUGAAUCAAAUACUUUCACAUUUAACUUAUCUGGGGGCUUACUUAAUUUUUGUUAGCAUCUUUUUACCAUUGACCUAAAUUUUUUUACGUGAUCGAACUUUCAAAAAUUAGUGUUCAUUAAGACUUCUGUUUUCAUAGCUAACUGACGGAAUAUUAGGCAUGCAAUUAUCAUAAUUUUUUAUUGUUCAGAGGAUGGUAAAGAGACACCUAACAAUGAUGCUCCUGAGAACAAUCCUAAAUAUACAACUGUUUAUGUGGGUAACCUUGGUUCUGAGAGGCAACACAACUUGAUCUCCAUCGUCAUUUCUAUACCAUUGGGGCUGGUGUGAUAGAGGAGGUUUGUGUCCAGCGUGAUAAAGAGUUUGGGUUUGUGAGGUCUAGUACUCACGCGCAAGCAGCUCUGGCAAUUAAGAUGGGCAAUGCCCAGUCUUAUCUCGGCAGAAAACUAAUUAAGCCGACUACACCUGGAACUGCUUCAAAUCCUCUUCCUCCACCUAUUGUUGCACCUUUGCCAGGUCUUUCCGCAACUGAUAUUCUGACCUGCGAGAGGAAGAUAGCAAUGAGCAAGAUGGAUGGUGUCCAUGCUGCAUUGAUGCAUCUCCAAGCGUAACAUCCUCUUAAGUAGGCCGCAAUUGGAGCAAGCUGGGAGAUAUAUGACGGCGGGUUCCAAAAUGUAGCUGCUGCACAACAAAUGAUGUACUACCAGUAAAAUAUAAUAAGCUAUCUCUAUCUAUCUGCAUGCAUUGGGCAAUGAUACAUAUGAUCAAGGUGAUGCUGCUGGUUUUAUCCAGCUUUAUGGUCUUCCAAUAUGAGUCCGGGUAAUGCUUCAGCAAGGCAUUUAAUUUAAGUGUUGAUUUCAUUUCAGAUCAUGUAUUUGUUUACAAUAAGACCACAUGCUUUGUUUAGUUAGAUGAAAUAAUUGUCUUUUAUCUAUUAUUUCAAUUCUCGUUAUUUAGGAAUUGGAUUGUAAUCAGAGAGUAGUUUUAAUUGUUAAUGGAUAAUCUCCACUCUAAUAAAAUGGUUGCAAAUG